CGAUUGGAAGUGUCUGGCCAAGCAGUAAGUCAGGUUUAGAGUUAAAUGCUUUAAGCCGGGUUGACAAGCUGUGAUGGGGAGCGAAAUUAAAGUAGCGAAGUUGCCGAUGUCACACUGCCGAGAAAAGCUUCUAGUGAGUAUUUAACUGCCCGUACCGCAAACCGACACAGGUAGUCGAGGAGAGAAUCCUAAGGUGAGCGAGUGAACUCUCGUUAAGGAACUCGGCAAAAUGACCCCGUAACUUCGGGAGAAGGGGUGCUGGUCGCAAGACCAGCCGCAGUGAAAAGGCCCAGGCGACUGUUUAUCAAAAACACAGGUUUCUGCAAAAUCGUAAGAUGAAGUAUAGGGGCUGACGCCUGCCCGGUGCUGGAAGGUUAAAAGGAAGAGUUAGCUUCGGCGAAGCCCUGAAUUGAAGCCCCAGUAAACGGCGGCCGUAACUAUAACGGUCCUAAGGUAGCGAAAUUCCUUGUCGGGUAAGUUCCGACCCGCACGAAAGGCGUAACGAUCUGGGCACUGUCUCAACGAGAGACUCGGUGAAAUUGAAUUGCCUGUGAAGAUGCAGGCUACCCGCGACAGGACGGAAAGACCCCAUGGAGCUUUACUGUAGCUUGAUAUUGAGUGUUUGUACUACUUGUACAGGAUAGGUAGGAGCCGUAGAAACCGGGACGCUAGUUUCGGUGGAGGCAUUGGUGGGAUACUACCCUUGUAUUAUGACCACUCUAACCCGCACCACUGAUCGUGGUGGGAGACAGUGUCAGGUGGGCAGUUUGACUGGGGCGGUCGCCUCCCAAAAGGUAACGGAGGCGCCCAAAGGUUCGCUCAGAAUGGUUGGAAAUCAUUCGCAGAGUGUAAAGGCACAAGCGAGCUUGACUGCGAGACAGACAGGUCGAGCAGGGACGAAAGUCGGGCUUAGUGAUCCGGUGGUUCCGCAUGGAAGGGCCAUCGCUCAACGGAUAAAAGCUACCCUGGGGAUAACAGGCUUAUCUCCCCCAAGAGUCCACAUCGACGGGGAGGUUUGGCACCUCGAUGUCGGCUCAUCGCAUCCUGGGGCUGUAGUCGGUCCCAAGGGUUGGGCUGUUCGCCCAUUAAAGCGGUACGCGAGCUGGGUUCAGAACGUCGUGAGACAGUUCGGUCCCUAUCCGUCGCGGGCGUAGGAAAUUUGAGAGGACCUGUCCUUAGUACGAGAGGACCGGGAUGGACAUACCGCUGGUGUACCAGUUGUUCCGCCAGGAGCAUCGCUGGGUAGCUAUGUAUGGAUGAGAUAAACGCUGAAAGCAUCUAAGUGUGAAACUCGCCUCAAGAUGAGAUUUCCCAUUCCUUUGGAAGUAAGACCCCACAGAGAUGAUGUGGUAGAUAGGAUGGAAGUGGAAGUGCGGUGACGCAUGGAGCGGACCAUUACUAAUCGGUCGAGGACUUAACCAAG
Molecule: ribosomal RNA, 1423 nt
Filed under: Limosilactobacillus fermentum NB-22
Lineage: Bacteria; Bacillati; Bacillota; Bacilli; Lactobacillales; Lactobacillaceae
Description: bacterial LSU rRNA
Rfam family: Bacterial large subunit ribosomal RNA
Source: RNAcentral